Molecule: non-coding RNA, 368 nt
Organism: Gallionellales bacterium GWA2_59_43
Lineage: Bacteria; Pseudomonadati; Pseudomonadota; Betaproteobacteria; Nitrosomonadales
Source: Rfam
GGGGGCGACAUGGCUUCGACGUGGGUUGCAAAGCAGCGUAGGGCAUACCGAGGACCCGCAACCUCGUAAAUCAGCUGGAAAAAACUAGUCGCAAACGACGAAAAGUACGCUUUAGCAGCUUAGUCUGCUAGACCUCGCACCUUCUCUCCCAUGGGGAGGCUCAAAGCCUACGGGCCAAGAUGAGCGAGGUCCUAACAUGGGAUCGUGUCGAGCAGGGUUACUUUGCUCGAAGCUAAAACUAAGGUAACUCGUCCGGUGGCAGCCUGUCGGUUGGCGGCAAACGGAUAAAAUUAAAUAAUCAGACUAAGUAUGUAGAACUAUCUGUAGAGUGCUUGCGGACGGGGGUUCAAUUCCCCCCGCCUCCACCA